This 440-nucleotide ribosomal RNA is filed under the name uncultured eukaryote. RNAcentral describes it as "bacterial SSU rRNA". It matches the Rfam family "Eukaryotic small subunit ribosomal RNA", at positions 592 to 1018 of the family's 1831-position model. The record is from RNAcentral.
CAAUAGCGUAUAUUAAAGUUGUUGCAGUUAAAAAGCUCGUAGUUGGAUUUCUGAUGUCUUUUCAAUGUCCUUCUUUGCUUGCCAAGUGCAAGUGUUGGGCUUGAUGGAUAUCUUCUUUCUCCGCAAAUUUGCCUUUGACGCAUUAAUUUGCAUCUGGGUGAAUGGGGAUCAUUUACUGUGAAAAAAUUAGAGUGUUCAAAGCAAGUAUUAAUUUCUUGAAUACAUUAGCAUGGAAUAAUAAGAUAGGACUUGGGUACUAUUUUGUUGGUUUGCAUACCUAAGUAAUGAUUAAUAGGAACAUAUUGGGGAUAUCUGUAUUUUUAGUCAGAGGUGAAAUUCUUGGAUUUAAGAAAGACAAACUACAGCGAAAGCAUUUAUCAAGGAUGUUUUCAUUGAUCAAGAACGAAAGUUAGGGGGAGUCGAAGAUGAUCAGAUACCAU